This 497-nucleotide ribosomal RNA is filed under the name uncultured bacterium. Its description in RNAcentral is "partial 16S ribosomal RNA". It matches the Rfam family "Bacterial small subunit ribosomal RNA", at positions 28 to 507 of the family's 1533-position model. The record is from RNAcentral.
GAUGAACGCUGGCGGCGUGCCUAAUACAUGCAAGUCGAGCGAACAGACGAGGAGCUUGCUCCUCUGAUGUUAGCGGCGGACGGGUGAGUAACACGUGGAUAACCUACCUAUAAGACUGGGAUAACUUCGGGAAACCGGAGCUAAUACCGGAUAACAUGUUGAACCGCAUGGUUCAACAGUGAAAGACGGUCUUGCUGUCACUUAUAGAUGGAUCCGCGCCGCAUUAGCUAGUUGGUAAGGUAACGGUUUACCAAGGCAACGAUGCGUAGCCGACCUGAGAGGGUGAUCGGCCACACUGAAACUGGAACACGGUCCAGACUCCUACGGGAGGCAGCAGUAGGGAAUCUUCCGCAAUAGGCGAAAGCCUGACGGAGCAACGCCGCGUGAGUGAAGAAGGUCUUCGGAUCGUAAAACUCUGUUAUUAGGGAAGAACAAAUGUGUAAGUAACUAUGCACGUCUUGACGGUACCUAAUCAGAAAGCCACGGCUAACUACGUG